GCUUAUUACCAGGGAGAUGAUAGUGAGAAAAUUGAUUAUACUGAUAGCCUAGAUGAGGAUAUCCCAUUGACUGUGUAUCUUAAGGACGGGGUAUCUGUCCUUGUUUUUUGAUUUAGUAAACCAGUGGAAAAGUUCAGUGGGGACGCGGUUCCUGAUGCAGUUACAAUAUACCAAAAUCGUAACUAGUUUACAAAAUCGUCUGAUACGGUUCCUGAUGCAAUUAUGAUGCGCCAUGGCAAUGGUGACAUGCUUUGAAAGUUUAAUUUUGCUGGAUGAAUUGACGAUUGCCUAAAAAAAAGGACAUUGGCACCCACAAGAUUCAGGUUGCAUCAUUGUAAAGGGUGCCUUUCUAAACUUGGACACUUGGAGAUAUCCAGUUUUAGUGGUGAAGAUCCACAGCGUAUACUGCCUUUGUAAACAAUCUUCAAUUGUGGUAAAUUGUACAACUCCAAUGUCGUCAACUUCGGAAGUGUAAUGCUGGAACUUUCAUCAUCAUCAUUGUUGCUCAUUGCAAAUAUCUCUUUCAUUGAAUUACAAUACUUUACGGAUAUCGUCUCUAGAUUUUGAAGUUGUUGAACUAACCUUGGUGUAAGCAAUUUCUCUAUCAAAUGGCAAUCACAAAUAUGAAACGUUUUUA
This is a long non-coding RNA of Medicago truncatula (barrel medic), 637 nucleotides long. RefSeq lists it as uncharacterized. The record is from RefSeq and is a predicted model, not a curated record. The transcript has 2 exons. NCBI's taxonomy places the organism in Eukaryota, Viridiplantae, Streptophyta, Magnoliopsida, Fabales, Fabaceae.